CCUUCGGGGAGUGCAUAAAGUGGCGCACGGGUGAGUAACACGUAAGUAAUCUACCCUCGGGUGGGGAAUAACAUCGGGAAACCGAUGCUAAUACCGCAUAAUGCAGCGGCACCGCAAGGUGACAGUUGUUAAAGAUUUAUUGCCUGGGGAGGAGCUUGCGGCAGAUUAGCUAGUUGGUAAGGUAACGGCUUACCAAGGCGACGAUCUGUAUCCGGUCUAAGAGGACGGUCGGACACACUGACACUGAAUAACGGGUCAGACUCCUACGGGAGGCAGCAGUCGGGAAUUUUGGGCAAUGGGGGAAACCCUGACCCAGCAACGCCGCGUGAAGGAUGAAGUAUUUCGGUAUGUAAACUUCGAAAGAAUAGGAAGAAUUAAUGACGGUACUAUUUAUAAGGUCCGGCUAACUACGUGCCAGCAGCCGCGGUAAUACGUAGGGACCAAGCGUUGUUCGGAUUUACUGGUCGUAAAGGGCGCGUAGGCGGCGCGGUAAGUCACUUGUGAAAUCUCUGAGCUUAACUCAGAACGGCCAAGUGAUACUGCAGUGCUAGAGUGUGGAAGGGGCAAUCGGAAUUCUUGGUGUAGCGGUGAAAUGCGUAGAUAUCAAGAGGAACACCUGAGGUGAAGACGGGUUGCUGGGCCAACACUGACGCUGAGGCGCGAAAGCCAGGGGAGCAAACGGGAUUAGAUACCCCGGUAGUCCUGGCCCUAAACGAUGAAUACUUGGUGUCUGGAGUUUUAAUGCUCCGGGUGCCGUCGCUAACGUUUUUAGUAUUCCGCCUGGGGAGUACGCUCGCAGAGU
RNAcentral lists this ribosomal RNA (802 nucleotides) under uncultured Bacillota bacterium. Its description in RNAcentral is "bacterial SSU rRNA". It matches the Rfam family "Bacterial small subunit ribosomal RNA", at positions 77 to 895 of the family's 1533-position model. The record is from RNAcentral. Lineage: Bacteria; Bacillati; Bacillota.